UUAGCGCGAGCGAGAGGUAGCGACAAGGCAGACGCAAAAUGGCGGACAACGACGGGAUGCAGAAGAUGCUUCCUGAAGCAGACGCUUUUAAACGUAAAUAUGCUCGACACCCAUUGUGUGCCCGAACGUCGUACAGCUGCAACAAGCUUUUUCUCUUUAUUUAUACUCUGCUUUUCCUGUUUGUGGGCAUCAUCUUGGUUGCCAUCGGCGUGUUGGUAGAGUUGCACAGGCAGCAAGUGGCCGAUCUAAACAACCAGUUAUCUCUGCCUGUGGCUCUUCUGAUUGUUGUGGGACUAGUCAUUGCUGCCAAUGCCCUUUGUGGCAUGGUUGGGACGCUUACUGAAAACAUCAUUCUUUUGAAAGUGUUUCUGGUCAUUACUGUGAUUUCCUUUCUGGUCCAAGUCACCAUUGGUGUAAUUGCUUUCAUCUACAGAGAACAGACUGCCAAGCGAGUUGCCUCAGUCCUAAGUACAGAGUUAAUGUUUGCUGUGGAAGGUUACAAAGAGAAUGAGGGACUUGCAAGAGCUAUGGACUACCUACAGAACCGGUAUGAGUGCUGUGGACUGAGGUCAUACCGAGACUACUCAGAGAUGAAUGAGGACUAUUUCUGCAGACAUGGAAAGUUGUGUGGAGUACCUGCUAGCUGCUGUCGAAGUCAGGAGGGAAUAAAGCUGUCAGAAACUUGUGGCCAUGAUGUUAUUGGAAACUUGACUGCUCAGAAGUAUAUUUAUACCAAUGGAUGCACCCACUUCUUCAUGCACUGGCUGCUAGAGCACCUUGACCUGACUGGAGCUAUAGCUCUUGGCUUUGCCAUUCCACAGGUUGGUCUUAAAGAAACAAGAAAGAAGCUGGUUCUUGCAUAAAUACAUUACAAUACCAAAGAAGCUUGUAGAGGAAAUCAUGAAGACUACAACAAAAGAAAUUCAGCAGAAAAAGAUUAUUGGAAUCCUGCUGGUGUACUUUUUCAUCCGCCGUGUUGGACAGUACCAGAAGGGUUAUCGUGUGGGCCAGUAUUUUGGCUAGAAGAAUUGUGACAUAGUUUUUUUCCAAUUGUAGAUGCUAGUCACAUGCACCAGUAGGCUAAUACACAUCAGAAUAAUGCCAGGUGUAAAAGCAGCUGUGAAAUCUUGUUAGUUGCUGGUCUUACCAGAUGGAGCAGUUACAGUUAGCUUUUGAAGAAGCAGUCAUUGAAGGAACAUUUCAUGUUAAAAACCUUUUCCCUUUUCCGCAUAUUUGGACUGUUAAGGAUUUGUGCAACAACAACAAAAAAUCUUUUAAGGCUGCCUGAUCACAGUCCAUGCUGACUGCCAAUUUCUUCAGGUGCAUCUAUCUGUUUUGCCAUAUAAAAAGAUAAGAUCUUUGAUAUUUGUCAUUAGACAUUGUGUGAGAAGCUUUCCAGGCUUUACCUGGUGCAGAAGGUGAGCAGUGCAAUUCCCUUUGAAUCUCAGAUGUCUUCAUCACACCUUUUCAUUAUUUGUUUACUGUUUUUAUUUUAAUGAGCUUUUUGGCAUUUCUCUUCCCUCCAUCCAGACAUUUUUUUGGAUAUUGGAUAUUGUUGAUAUUUUUUUUACGCUAACUUGGAUUUGUCACAUCCUGGUUUGAAAUGAUCUCUUCAUGUAAUAUAAAGUCAACUGUGAAAAUCUG
Molecule: unclassified non-coding RNA, 1644 nt
Filed under: Pomacea canaliculata
Lineage: Eukaryota; Metazoa; Mollusca; Gastropoda; Architaenioglossa; Ampullariidae
Description: tetraspanin-15-like, transcript variant X2
Source: RNAcentral